CCUACGGGAGGCAGCAGUGAGGAAUAUUGGUCAAUGGGCGCGAGCCUGAACCAGCCAAGUCGCGUGAGGGAAGACGGUCCUAUGGAUUGUAAACCUCUUUUGUCGGGGAGCAAAAGACGCCACGCGUGGCGUUCCGAGAGUACCCGAAGAACAAGCAUCGGCUAACUCCGUGCCAGCAGCCGCGGUAAUAUGGAGGAUGAGAGCGUUAUCGGGAUUUAUUGGGUUUAAAGGGUGGGCAGGCGGAAGAUCAAGUCAGCGGUAAACUAGAGAGGUGCAACCGCUUCGAGCCGUUGAUACUGGUUUUCUUGAGUGAGCGAGAGGGAUGCGGAAUGCGUGGUGUAGCAGUGAAAUGCAUAGAUAUCGCGCAGAACUCCGAUGGCGAAGGCAGCAUACCGGCGCUCAACUGACGCUCAGGCACGAAGGUGUGGGUAUCGAACAGGAUUAGAUACCCCAGUAGUC
RNAcentral lists this ribosomal RNA (459 nucleotides) under uncultured bacterium. RNAcentral describes it as "partial 16S ribosomal RNA". It matches the Rfam family "Bacterial small subunit ribosomal RNA", at positions 338 to 795 of the family's 1533-position model. The record is from RNAcentral.